CUACGUGCCAGCAGCCGCGGUAAUACGUAGGUGGCAAGCGUUGUCCGGAAUUAUUGGGCGUAAAGCGCGCGCAGGCGGAUUGGUCAGUCUGUCUUAAAAGUUCGGGGCUUAACCCCGUGAUGGGAUGGAAACUGCCAAUCUAGAGUAUCGGAGAGGAAAGUGGAAUUCCUAGUGUAGCGGUGAAAUGCGUAGAUAUUAGGAAGAACACCAGUGGCGAAGGCGACUUUCUGGACGAAAACUGACGCUGAGGCGCGAAAGCCAGGGGAGCGAACGGGAUUAGAUACCCCGGUAGUCCUGGCCGUAAACGAUGGGUACUAGGUGUAGGAGGUAUCGACCCCUUCUGUGCCGGAGUUAACGCAAUAAGUACCCCGCCUGGGGAGUACGACCGCAAGGUUGAAACUCAAAGGAAUUGACGGGGGCCCGCACAAGCGGUGGAGUAUGUGGUUUAAUUCGACGCAACGCGAAGAACCUUACCAGGUCUU
RNAcentral lists this ribosomal RNA (482 nucleotides) under uncultured bacterium. RNAcentral describes it as "bacterial SSU rRNA". It matches the Rfam family "Bacterial small subunit ribosomal RNA", at positions 501 to 982 of the family's 1533-position model. The record is from RNAcentral.